AUUAUGCUUGAACGGAAGUUCACCUCUAGAUACCACGUAUACAGCACAGUCCAGCGACUUCGGACGAAACCAUCGAUGAAGAAGCGUAGGCCAGAAAAGGCGAGCAUGCAUGAAUAUGGCGUGCCAUUUGUGUCAAAAUUAGACAAUGAGAUGAGGCGAUGAGACAAUGAGAUGAGGCGAUGAGACAAUGAGAUGAGGCGAUGAGAUCAUGAGAUGAGGCGAUGAGACGAUGAGAUGAGGCGAUGAGACGAUGAGAUGAGGCGAUGAGAUCAUGAGAUGAGACAAUGAGAUGAUGCGAUGAGACAAUGAGAUGAGGCGAUGAGACAAUGAGAUGAGGCGAUGAGAUCAUGCGAUGAGACAAUGAGAUGAGGCGAUGAGACCAUGCGAUGAGACCAUGCGAUGAGACAAUGAGAUGAGGCGAUGAGACAAUGAGAUGAGGCGAUGAGACUGUAAUAUGAGACUGUAAUAUGAGAUUGUAAUAUGAGAUUGCAAUAUGAGACUGCAUGCAUCGAUAUGAGGUACCUCAUGCAGCUACUGUAUUGGAGACUGGAGAUUCAGAAUUAUAUUUUAUCUGCUGCAGAGAAUCUAGUUUUUGAAGAGAGUUUUUAUUCGACACUUGUUGUCUGCAACUAACAGAUGAAGAAAGAAAGAAGACAAGAGAAACUUAAUUACAGAGUGACUCCUGGCUUUCUCCAUGUAAAUCAUUAAUUACAGACUAAGUCUCUUUCUAGCCACAUGCAGUAUCCAACAGGGUGGGGUUUGUCUAUUAUAUUUUCACUAUACGCUUGCAUUAAUAAAUAUUAAAUUAAAAAUUAGUUGCUUGCAAUUUUAAUAUUCUAUAGGUUAGGAAAAUUUGACUGAUCGGUACAAUUUAAAGUUAUUUGAAGACUCAAACAGCACACUCAAUCUUUGAUCAGUUUUCCUUUUCAAUGCAAUGAAAUAUGUGCGUGGAUGAAUGUGGCCAGGCUAUACAUACUGUACAAUAAUUUUCGUCUUCCAUGCAAUUGGUAAUUGACUAAUAAAAGUGAACUAUCCGCGUGGUGUUAUUAUGCCGCAUAUCAGAUGUUUUUUAUAAACUGAACUCUCAAUUUACAUUUACUAUGGAGAAACAAAAUUGCAACAAAAUGCCACAUUGUAGGCAAAUUAGCUAUAUUUCUAAUGAAUUAACUCUAUAAUACAACUUAAGCAGCGACAACGGUCAGUGGAUGGUCCGGCCAUUUAAUUUCUACAUUUCAAUUUCUAUGUUUUAUUUUUUAAUUUUCAAUUUUAUAUUUUAUUUUUGUAAAAUGGUUUUUCAUCUUGAUAUUUGAUUCUUGUGAUCUCUAGAUUUAUUUUGUUUUUACUUUACUUUCCGUCACGUGCCAAAUCAAGUUGGCUGCUCUUGGCUCUGACACACAACGUUUUGCCAG
This is a long non-coding RNA of Corticium candelabrum, 1409 nucleotides long. RefSeq lists it as uncharacterized. NCBI's taxonomy places the organism in Eukaryota, Metazoa, Porifera, Homoscleromorpha, Homosclerophorida, Plakinidae. The record is from RefSeq and is a predicted model, not a curated record. The transcript has 3 exons.